UACCAGCACCCCGAGUGGUCGGGACGUUUAUUGGGCCUAAAGCAUCCGUAGCCGGUUCUACAAGUCUUCCGUUAAAUCCAACUGCUUAACAGGUGGGCUGCGGAAGAUACUAUAGAGCUAGGAGGCGGGGAGAGGCAAGCGGUACUCGAUGGGUAGGGGUAAAAUCCGUUGAUCCAUUGAAGAACCACCAGUGGCGAAGGCGGCUUGCCAGAACGCGCUCGACGGUGAGGGAUGAAAGCUGGGGGAGCAACCGGG
Molecule: ribosomal RNA, 255 nt
Filed under: uncultured bacterium
Lineage: Bacteria
Description: partial 16S ribosomal RNA
Rfam family: Archaeal small subunit ribosomal RNA
Source: RNAcentral